This 261-nucleotide unclassified non-coding RNA is filed under the name uncultured fungus. RNAcentral describes it as "partial contains 5.8S ribosomal RNA, internal transcribed spacer 2, and large subunit ribosomal RNA". Lineage: Eukaryota; Fungi. The record is from RNAcentral.
AACGCACAUUGCGCCCGCCAGCAUUCUGGCGGGCAUGCCUGUCCGAGCGUCAUUUCAACCCUCAAGCGCUGCUUGGCGUUGGGGCGCUACCCCCCUUUUUUCGCGGGGGGUAGGCCCCGAAAUACAGUGGCGAGGUCGCCCGGACCCCGAGCGCAGUAGCACUGACAACCACGCUCAGGGAGUCCGGACCGGCGUCUGCCCGUCCAAAUGAGACACUCAAAGGUUGACCUCGGAUCAGGUAGGAAUACCCGCUGAACUUAA